RNAcentral lists this ribosomal RNA (384 nucleotides) under uncultured bacterium. RNAcentral's name for it is "bacterial SSU rRNA". It matches the Rfam family "Bacterial small subunit ribosomal RNA", at positions 29 to 414 of the family's 1533-position model. The record is from RNAcentral.
AUUAAACGCUGGCGGCAUGCCUUACACAUGCAAGUCGAACGGCAGCACGGGGGCAACCCUGGUGGCGAGUGGCGAACGGGUGAGUAAAGCAUCGGAACGUGCCCUGGAGUGGGGGAUAACGUAGCGAAAGUUACGCUAAUACCGCAUAUUCUGUGAGCAGGAAAGCAGGGGAUCGCAAGACCUUGCGCUUUGGGAGCGGCCGAUGUCGGAUUAGCUAGUUGGUGGGGUAAAGGCCUACCAAGGCGACGAUCCGUAGCGGGUCUGAGAGGAUGAUCCGCCACACUGGGACUGAGACACGGCCCAGACUCCUACGGGAGGCAGCAGUGGGGAAUUUUGGACAAUGGGCGCAAGCCUGAUCCAGCCAUGCCGCGUGAGUGAAGAAGG